ACGAGCGAGUGCUUAAAACUCAAAGAACUUGGCGGCUUGUUAACUACCUAGGGGAAUAUGCGCCUUAAUCCGAUGGUCCCCGCAACAUCUUACUGGAUCUUGAAAGAGUGCAGUCGGUGUAUUGCCGUUGUCAGCUUGUUGUUCGAGCAAAGAAAAACAGGCUUAAUGGGUCUCUAGGGAUUAGGUUCGUGAGAAUCCAUGAAUUCAGGUCGUAAUGCUGCCUACGGUCCAAGGGAGUGGGUAUUACAAUUUAUAUUUAAAACUACGGAUCUUUAUUGUGAAAUUUUAGGGAAGAAGGUGAACUUAGGAGUAA
This 313-nucleotide ribosomal RNA is filed under the name Nodipecten subnodosus. RNAcentral describes it as "partial 12S ribosomal RNA". It matches the Rfam family "Bacterial small subunit ribosomal RNA", at positions 882 to 1341 of the family's 1533-position model. The record is from RNAcentral. Lineage: Eukaryota; Metazoa; Mollusca; Bivalvia; Pectinida; Pectinidae.